Molecule: ribosomal RNA, 707 nt
Filed under: unidentified microorganism
Description: bacterial SSU rRNA
Rfam family: Bacterial small subunit ribosomal RNA
Source: RNAcentral
UACACAUGCAGUCGAACGGAUCCUUCGGGAUUAGUGGCGGACGGGUGAGUAACACGUGGGAACGUGCCUUUUGGUUCGGAACAACUCAGGGAAACUUGAGCUAAUACCGGAUAAGCCUUUCGAGGGAAAGAUUUAUCGCCAUUAGAGCGGCCCGCGUAGGAUUAGCUAGUUGGUGAGGUAAAGGCUCACCAAGGCUACGAUCCUUAGCUGGUCUGAGAGGAUGAUCAGCCACAUUGGGACUGAGACACGGCCCAAACUCCUACGGGAGGCAGCAGUGGGGAAUCUUGCGCAAUGGGCGAAAGCCUGACGCAGCCAUGCCGCGUGAAUGAUGAAGGUCUUAGGAUUGUAAAAUUCUUUCACCGAGGACGAUAAUGACGGUACUCGGAGAAGAAGCCCCGGCUAACUUCGUGCCAGCAGCCGCGGUAAUACGAAGGGGGCUAGCGUUGCUCGGAAUUACUGGGCGUAAAGGGAGCGUAGGCGGAUAGUUUAGUCAGAGGUGAAAGCCCAGGGCUCAACCUUGGAAUUGCCUUUGAUACUGGCUAUCUUGAGUACGGAAGAGGUAUGUGGAACUCCGAGUGUAGAGGUGAAAUUCGUAGAUAUUCGGAAGAACACCAGUGGCGAAGGCGACAUACUGGUCCGUUACUGACGCUGAGGCUCGAAAGCGUGGGGAGCAAACAGGAUUAGAUACCCUGGUAGUCCACGCUGUA